This is a long non-coding RNA of Ruditapes philippinarum (Manila clam), 693 nucleotides long. RefSeq lists it as uncharacterized. NCBI's taxonomy places the organism in Eukaryota, Metazoa, Mollusca, Bivalvia, Venerida, Veneridae. The transcript has 4 exons. The record is from RefSeq and is a predicted model, not a curated record.
UCAGGAAAACUUGCGUUACAAUCUUUUUCGGUAUAUUCAAAAUUAGCGCUGAAACAAAUAAAGUUGGGAAUAAUUUUUCACUUUCUAAUAACGCUUAAAAUAUUAGUUAAUAUGUUUUGUUGUUUGUUGUUUUAUCUUUUAGUUCUUUAAGAAUAAUAUUAAUUAAUAAACUGUUAUUAGUCAAAACCCCGUUUAUAAAAUAACGCUGGUCAGGGAAAGUAAUUGUUUCGGUCUAUGAUAUUGUUUGUUCUAUAGUUAUCGUUCGUGCAAACGGUGGCGCUGUUUGGAAAAUUUGAAAACAACACGAUUGGCAAUUUAUUUGGAUUUCGGAGAUUUUACCAUCCUGGUCCUGGUUGAAAUUUAGAGUAUUGCAGCUGUAGCCUGAAUACCAUACAUUCAGCAUGAAAAGGACUGUCAGGAUGCUGCAUAAAAUGGUCUUAGCUAGAGCCUAGAAUGUUAAUUUCUUGGGAAUAUGCUGCAAGGAACUGACGGGGAGCAGUUUUUCUUACCAAUCAUAGAAGCAGUAAGAGACAGCCAAAGAAGUACUCAAACACUUGACAUACCCUGAAAGAUCUAGAAGAAAAGAUUGGAACAGAUUGUAGUUUAAUUGUUUAAACUAUUAAAGUGAAUUUAAGCUGCACUUGAACUGUUUUUUUGAAAUAAAAUAUUUGAAGUAUUUAAUUUUGUCUUGAU